RNAcentral lists this ribosomal RNA (456 nucleotides) under uncultured archaeon. Its description in RNAcentral is "bacterial SSU rRNA". It matches the Rfam family "Archaeal small subunit ribosomal RNA", at positions 1 to 426 of the family's 1478-position model. The record is from RNAcentral.
UCCGGUUGAUCCUGCCAGAGGCCGCUGCUAUCCGGCUGGGACUAAGCCAUGCUAGUCUAGGGGCUUGUACUCCUUCGGGGGUGCAAGCACCGGCGGACGGCUCAGUAACACGUGGACAACCUGCCCUCGGGUGGGGGAUAACCCCGGGAAACUGGGGCUAAACCCCCAUAGGGGAUGGGUGGUGGAAUUCCCCCAUCCCCGAAAGUGUGCGGUUGCCGUAAGGCGCCGCACAGCCCGAGGAUGGGGCUGCGGCGGAUUAGGUAGUUGGCGGGGUAACGGCCCGCCAAGCCGAAGAUCCGUACGGGCCAUGAGAGUGGGAGCCCGGAGAUGGCCCCUGAGACAAGGGGCCAGGCCCUACGGGGCGCACCAGGCGCGAAACCUCCGCAAUGCGGGAAACCGCGACGGGGUCGGCCGGAGUGCCCGCGCAUCGCGCGGGUUGUCGGGGAGCCUAAACAG